Molecule: long non-coding RNA, 558 nt
Filed under: Olea europaea (common olive)
Lineage: Eukaryota; Viridiplantae; Streptophyta; Magnoliopsida; Lamiales; Oleaceae
Description: long non-coding RNA (OEUR_LNC002183)
Source: RNAcentral
AGGGUUUUGUCAUCUAUCGGGUUCGUGUGAGGCGAGGUGGUCGCAAGAGACCUGUCCCUAAAGGUAUCGUGUAUGGUAAGCCCACCAACCAGGGUGUUACCCAACUCAAAUUUCAGCGCAGCAAAAGGUCAGUUGCAGAAGAACGUGCUGGUAGAAAGCUGGGUGGUCUUAAGGUUCUGAACUCAUACUGGAUCAAUGAGGUAAAUGAUCAAGUUGAGUUAAUUGCUUGUUUUGCUCUUUCGUUUGAAAUCUGGAAUGAGACUUGUUAUGAUUUAUAUGCUUUUGUUUGUUGUAGGAUUCAACUUACAAGUACUUUGAGGUAAUCUUGGUUGAUCCUGCACAUCAAGCCAUCCGUAAUGAUCCAAGAAUCAACUGGAUUUGCAACCCUGUGCACAAGCACAGAGAGCUCCGUGGCCUCACUUCAGCAGGAAAGAAAUACAGAGGCCUACGUGGAAAGGGACACUUGAACCACAAGGCACGUCCCUCACGCAGGGCCACCUGGAAGAGGAACAACACACUUUCGCUUCGCCGAUAUCGCUGAGUUUUACUUGCUGUUGG